UACAGAGGUGGCAAGCGUUGUUCGGAAUUACUGGGCGUAAAGGGCGCGUAGGCGGCCUUGUAAGUCUCGUGUGAAAGCCCUCGGCUUAACUGAGGAUCUGCACGGGAUACUGCGAGGCUCGAGUUCGGGAGAGGAAAGCGGAAUUCCGGGUGUAGCGGUGAAAUGCGUAGAUAUCCGGAGGAACACCAGUGGCGAAGGCGGCUUUCUGGACCGACACUGACGCUGAUGCGCGAAAGCGUGGGGAGCGAACAGG
RNAcentral lists this ribosomal RNA (253 nucleotides) under uncultured bacterium. Its description in RNAcentral is "partial 16S ribosomal RNA". It matches the Rfam family "Bacterial small subunit ribosomal RNA", at positions 524 to 776 of the family's 1533-position model. The record is from RNAcentral.